RNAcentral lists this ribosomal RNA (302 nucleotides) under uncultured bacterium. RNAcentral describes it as "partial 16S ribosomal RNA". It matches the Rfam family "Bacterial small subunit ribosomal RNA", at positions 508 to 807 of the family's 1533-position model. The record is from RNAcentral.
GCAGUAGCCGCGGUAAUACGAAGGGUGCAAGCGUUAAUCGGAAUUACUGGGCGUAAAGCGUGCGUAGGCGGUGAGUUAAGUCUGCUGUGAAAUCCCCGGGCUCAACCUGGGAAUGGCAGUGGAUACUGGCUCGCUAGAGUGUGUCAGAGGAUGGUGGAAUUCCCGGUGUAGCGGUGAAAUGCGUAGAGAUCGGGAGGAACAUCAGUGGCGAAGGCGGCCAUCUGGGACAACACUGACGCUGAGGCACGAAAGCGUGGGGAGCAAACAGGAUUAGAUACCCCUGUAGUCCCUGUCUCUUAUAC